AUAGAACAAUUCAGCUACAACCAUUUUGAAUAUGUGAGUCCGGCUCUAUUUCCCUUUAGCAUUACCAAUAAUCCAUUGAACAAACUGUUCCCAAUUCAGGAAAUUGGGGUGAGUUUCCCUAAUCCAAGACAGUGUCCGGUGCCUUAGCUGAAUAGCAAAGGGACAGCUAUGGAAGAGGUGAUCUCUGGUCUCCGGAGCUUGCUGGCACAACACACAGAUGCUAUCCACAUUCAUACUCCACUGUAGCAGCCUAUCUUUGGUUGGCAAUCUAUUCUGAAGGACCAGCCAUUGAUUAAAAACAGCCUUUGGCCUAGCAUAGUUUUGAGCAGUUAAGUUCUUCCAAGUAACUCUACGGAGUUGACCAAUCUGAAGCAGAUAUAAUAGUCUAAUAGAGCACACUGGCCUGUGCAAACUCUGAUUUUUGAAGGUAUGAGGAAAAGUUGAGCCCAGUAAGCUUGUAUUCCAAAGACCACUGAUUGGACCAAUUGAAGUCUUCCAGCAUACGACAAUUUCCUGGCAGUCCAAGAUGUAAUCCUAGCAGUGAUUCUAUCAACCAGUGGCUGCCACUGAAUCAAAGCCAUCUUCUUUGUAGAUAAAGGUAUACCCAAAUAUCUGAAAGGUAAAUUUCCAUAUACAUAGCCUAGAUGCUCAGUUAUUUGUUGCUGGACUUCAGUAUUUACCCCUCCAAAGUAAACUGAACUUUUGGUCAGAUUGGCUUUCAUCCCAGAAGCUUCAGUGAAUUGAGAGAAGUACUUGAAUAUGGUAACUACAUAUUGUUUAUCUCCUUUAGCAAACAGCAGCAGGUCAUCAGCAAAGCUGAUAUGAGUGAUGCCCAGUUUCUUACAGCAUGGAUGGAAUAUAAAGUCUUGGUCUUUCUUCAAUUCAGCCAAAGAUCUGCCUAAGUACUCCAUUACAAUAGCAAAGAGAAAUGGAGAGAUUGGAUGACCUUGUCUGAGGCCUUUAGCUGCUUUAAAAGGUUCAGUAGUUUCCCCAUUGAUCAUCACUGUAUAGCUGACUGUUUGGACACAUUCCAUAAUCCAUUUUGUGAAUCUGACUGGAAAUCCCAUUGCCUCCAUUACCUGUUGCAAUCACCUUGUCUGAGGCCUUUAGCUGCUUUAAAAGGUUCAGUUGUUUCUCCAUUGAGCAUCACUGUAUAGCUGACUGUUUGGACACAUUCCAUAAUCCAUUUUGUGAGUCUGACUGGAAAUCCCAUUGCCUCCAUUUCCUGUUGCAAGAAAGUCCAUUCGGCAGAGUCAUAUGCCUUCUGCAGGUCGAUUUUGAUCAUGCAUCUAGGAGUUAUAUGAGAUCUGGAGUAAUUUUUGAUUAAUUCAUGGGCCAAUAUAACAUUAUCUGCAAUUUUCCUGCCUUGGGUGAAUCCUUCUUGAGCAUCACAGAUGAUGCUUGCCAUGAUUUUCUGCAUUCUAUUGGCUAAUAUCUUGGAAAUCAGUUUAUAUAACACUGAGCAGCAAGCUAUUGGUCUGAACUCUUUGACUGUUGUUGGAUUAGAAACUUUAGGUAUCAGGGUAAGGGAGGCACAGUUGACUGGUCCGUACAUCCUGUUGGUCUGGAAAAAAUUCUUGACUGCACCAGUUAUCUGUUUGUCAGUGAUGGUCCAAGU
RNAcentral lists this long non-coding RNA (1618 nucleotides) under Nicotiana benthamiana. Its description in RNAcentral is "long non-coding RNA (NBEN_LNC032304)". Lineage: Eukaryota; Viridiplantae; Streptophyta; Magnoliopsida; Solanales; Solanaceae. The record is from RNAcentral.